Leucosporidium creatinivorum is the source of this 96-nucleotide transfer RNA. It matches the Rfam family "tRNA". From Rfam's summary of the family: Transfer RNA (tRNA) molecules are approximately 80 nucleotides in length. Their secondary structure includes four short double-helical elements and three loops (D, anti-codon, and T loops). Lineage: Eukaryota; Fungi; Basidiomycota; Microbotryomycetes; Leucosporidiales; Leucosporidiaceae. The record is from Rfam.
GGAGCUUUGGCCGAGCGGUCUAAGGCGCCAGCUUAAGGUGAUUCACUCAUUGUCCGCUGGUCCGAAAGGGCGUGGGUUCAAAUCCCACAGGCUUCA